AGCGAAGCGCAAGCAGAGGUUCUUGACUGAGUGGCGGACGGGUGAGUAACGCGUGGAUAACCUGCCUUUCACAGGGGGAUAACAGCUGGAAACGGCUGCUAAUACCGCAUGAGCCUCUUUUAUCGCAUGACGGGAGAGGGAAAGAGAAAUCGGUGAGAGAUGGAUCCGCGUCCGAUUAGCUAGUUGGAGGGGUAACAGCCCACCAAGGCGACGAUCGGUAGCCGACCUGAGAGGGUGGACGGCCACAUUGGGACUGAGACACGGCCCAAACUCCUACGGGAGGCAGCAGUGGGGAAUAUUGCACAAUGGGGGAAACCCUGAUGCAGCAACGCCGCGUGAGUGAGGAAGUAUUUCGGUAUGUAAAGCUCUAUCAGCAGGGAAUAGAAAAGAAGGUACCUGAAAAAGAAGCCCCGGCUAACUACGUGCCAGCAGCCGCGGUAAUACGUAGGGGGCAAGCGUUAUCCGGAUUUACUGGGUGUAAAGGGAGCGUAGACGGAAAGGCAAGUCAGAAGUGAAAGCCCAAAGCUCAACCAUGGGACUGCUUUUGAAACUGUCAAACUAGAGUACGGGAGAGGUAAGAGGAAUUCCUAGUGUAGCGGUGAAAUGCGUAGAUAUUAGGAGGAACACCAGUGGCGAAGGCGUCUUACUGGACCGAAACUGACGUUGAGGCUCGAAAGCGUGGGGAGCAAACAGGAUUAGAUACCCUGGUAGUCCACGCGGUAAACGAUGAAUA
Molecule: ribosomal RNA, 733 nt
Filed under: uncultured bacterium
Lineage: Bacteria
Description: bacterial SSU rRNA
Rfam family: Bacterial small subunit ribosomal RNA
Source: RNAcentral